RNAcentral lists this ribosomal RNA (468 nucleotides) under uncultured bacterium. RNAcentral's name for it is "partial 16S ribosomal RNA". It matches the Rfam family "Bacterial small subunit ribosomal RNA", at positions 28 to 507 of the family's 1533-position model. The record is from RNAcentral.
GACGAACGCUGGCGGCGUGCUUAACACAUGCAAGUCGAACGGAAAGGCCCUGCUUUUGUGGGGUGCUCGAGUGGCGAACGGGGGAGUAACACGUGAGUAACCUGCCCCUGACUUUGGGAUAACUUCAGGAAACUGGGGCUAAUACCGGAUAGGAGCUCCUGCUGCAUGGUGGGGGUUGGAAAGUUUCGGCGGUUGGGGAUGGACUCGCGGGUUAUCAGCUUGUUGGUGGGGUAGUGGCUGACCAAGGCUUUGACGGGUAGCCGGCCUGAGAGGGGGACCGGCCACAUUGGGACUGAGAUACGGCCCAGACUCCUACGGGAGGCAGCAGUGGAGAAUAUUGCACAAUGGGCGGAAGCCUGAGGCAGCAACGCCGCGUGCGGGAUGACGGCCUUCGGGUUGUAAACCGCUGUCGCCUGUGACGAAGCGUGAGUGACGGUAAUGGGUAAAGAAGCACCGGCUAACUACGUG